Molecule: long non-coding RNA, 712 nt
Organism: Callorhinchus milii (elephant shark)
Lineage: Eukaryota; Metazoa; Chordata; Chondrichthyes; Chimaeriformes; Callorhinchidae
Exons: 3
Source: RefSeq, a predicted model, not a curated record
UAAGGAAACUUGCCUAACAUUUCGGCCCACAUCCUGAAGUCUGACAUUCGCUGUUUAAACCUAACUUCGCAAUCACUUUUUUUUAAUGUAGACCAGAACUCUUGUGGUUUGACUGGACCCGAGGUGUUUUGCUGAGAGCGUUAAUUACUGUAACUGCAACACUAAUCGAUGUCGUGUUCAUGUUAUUGACCGAGACGUCAGCAGGUCAGAGUUGGGUUAGAAGCUGUGAAGCGAAAGCAAUAUGUUAUUUAUCAAAACACUUCAUGAGACUUUGUAACUCACUGUUCAGCAGAAUUGAAGGCCAAUUUAAAGGGAUACUUUGUUCUAAAGAUUUUUUUUGCAGAAGAGAGUCUUGUGCUGUUUGUGACAAGCAGGCCUCACGCACUGACAAACUCCGUCACGUGUUGGUGUGACUCAAUUGGAAAGGAAUGAGAAAAAGAGAGUGAAAACCUUAUCGUGGAAUGGGUGCCCUGUUAAGGCAGCAGAGAGUCUGGAUGCGACUGACCUGCUGAUCGAUCGAUACCUGUUCCAGAGUGAACUCAGAUUUCUGUGUUUUCCUGAAUGAAACAAAAAUUGGAAGGAUUUCCAACUCUGACCUUGAUGAGGAAGGUUUGGAACAAUCCGACUGAUCGCUGGCAACAGAACAUAAAGAAUAUAAUAAUCCCUCACAUUGUCAAGACAUUGCUUCACGGGAUCUACUGUCAAGUGCAAA